RNAcentral lists this ribosomal RNA (246 nucleotides) under Stenotrophomonas maltophilia. RNAcentral describes it as "partial 16S ribosomal RNA". It matches the Rfam family "Bacterial small subunit ribosomal RNA", at positions 87 to 336 of the family's 1533-position model. Lineage: Bacteria; Pseudomonadati; Pseudomonadota; Gammaproteobacteria; Lysobacterales; Lysobacteraceae. The record is from RNAcentral.
GGUGGCGAGUGGCGGACGGGUGAGGAAUACAUCGGAAUCUACUUUUUCGUGGGGGAUAACGUAGGGAAACUUACGCUAAUACCGCAUACGACCUACGGGUGAAAGCAGGGGAUCUUCGGACCUUGCGCGAUUGAAUGAGCCGAUGUCGGAUUAGCUAGUUGGCGGGGUAAAGGCCCACCAAGGCGACGAUCCGUAGCUGGUCUGAGAGGAUGAUCAGCCACACUGGAACUGAGACACGGUCCAAAC